RNAcentral lists this ribosomal RNA (324 nucleotides) under Enterobacter cloacae. RNAcentral's name for it is "bacterial SSU rRNA". It matches the Rfam family "Bacterial small subunit ribosomal RNA", at positions 1 to 321 of the family's 1533-position model. The record is from RNAcentral. Lineage: Bacteria; Pseudomonadati; Pseudomonadota; Gammaproteobacteria; Enterobacterales; Enterobacteriaceae.
UUAAAUUGAAGAGUUUGAUCAUGGCUCAGAUUGAACGCUGGCGGCAGGCCUAACACAUGCAAGUCGAACGGUAGCACAGAGAGCUUGCUCUCGGGUGACGAGUGGCGGACGGGUGAGUAAUGUCUGGGAAACUGCCUGAUGGAGGGGGAUAACUACUGGAAACGGUAGCUAAUACCGCAUAACGUCGCAAGACCAAAGAGGGGGACCUUCGGGCCACUUGCCAUCAGAUGUGCCCAGAUGGGAUUAGCUAGUAGGUGGGGUAACGGCUCACCUAGGCGACGAUCCCUAGCUGGUCUGAGAGGAUGACCAGCCACACUGGAACUG